UUAUUAACCAUCUCCCCGGGUGAUUCCUAUUCAGCCAUAAGCUGCACCUGGUCUGCAAUGAGUAGAGCAGCAUGUCUCAAAGAGUAGCUGUGUACCCUCUAAAUCAGAAUCGCCUGAGGAGCUUGAAGAUUGUGCAGAUACCUCUCUGCAGAUACCUCCCUUCUGCUGCCCAGGAAGGAGGCAAAGGGUGGAGGGAGUAGAAAAAAUAAGGAGACAGUAUAAAAAGGGAGAUUGACGUCACUUCAACUCCCACCUGGCAGGAGUGGAGAGGGCCAAUUCUCCUGGAAGUGACAGCAUGGAACGUGCCUCCUGCUGCCUGACCACCUGCACCUCCUUCCUUCUCUUCCUCUCCCUGGCAACUGCAGCAGCCAAGGCUGCCCCUCAGGGGUUGCCGGGGGGCCUAGUUAGAGAAGAGGGAGAGGAGUGAAGAGAAAGAAAAUAGGGGGCAGCUAGAAAAAUAAGGUGAAGGUAUAGGAAUUAUAAACAGCCUUAGGCUUCUGUUCAUAUUGCAGCUCAAUCCAAUGCAAAUAAAUACCUAUUUUGAUAACUGUACUUGACUAAAGGAUAACAAUAUAUUAUUUGGCCAAGGAGUGCAUUCCAGUUACAUAAAAUUGCGUCUAUGCGUAGAAAAUGGUCCAGAAGAUUGUGAACCGUAUUAAUCUCCAAGUGGUGGAAUUUAAGGUACUAUUUUCCUUAUUUCAGCAUACUAAUCUGUAUUGCUUGAACAUUUUACACUAAGCAUGGGUUAUUUUUAUAAUGAGAAAUAAAGCCACUUUCGUUUGGGAGAACAAGAACAAGGAGUCACGGGGCUAAAGUACUAUACGGGACAGAGGGAGGAGUCGGGCACAGGCCCCUCCUUCAAUAAGCUCACAAACUCCAUGGCAGAAUCACGGAUGCUUUCUGAGUUGCAGAGAAAUGCAGCUAGGUGGCCCCGCAACAGAUGAGGGCUGGACUCGCCUGCAGGGAUGGCAUGUGGCCCAAAAGCCUAAGAUGGAUUCCAAAUAUAUCUAAUUGAGUGCAGACCUGAAGAGGAGUUUAGUGUAUUAAAGAAGGGAAACUUAUCAAGGUUAAUUAGUAUGAAGGAGGUAGCUCUGGAAGGAACUAUAUAGGUCAAAGGGAUCUAGAAAAAGCAAGUGUGAUGUUACAGAAUGAUAGCAUUCUUGUGGCUGUAACAAUGAGAUGUGCCAAGAGCUCGGCUGGAGAUUAAGGAAGUAAACCUGAGACCUCAUCAAAGACGGAGCCACUCCUGGUUGUCCUGGGACCUACUCCUCAGGGUUCUGAUAUUAUCCAUCAGAAGAGAUCUCUGAGAAGAUGCAUAAAGAAAUUUUCCAGUUGGCCAUUAUCUGCCUGUGGGUCCAGAGUUUGACCAUCCUUUCCAAAGUGAGGCCACACCAAACAUGAGGAGAGGGGGACAAAGCCCAAGACCUAGGCUGUACUCAAAGAUUCAUGUGCCUCAACUUCCCAUCCAGCCUUUCUGAGACUCUGCUCCACCCAUGCCUUUUCCCUAUCCCCAAUUACUGUCAUUUGUGUUGCCGUCAUGGUCUCCUUUUUUGUGCUUUUAAUCUAUACACAUUUAUUGGACGCCUGUUGUGUGCCUGGCACUGUACUGCAAAGACAAGUGAUUCCUAUCCUUAAGGAGGUCAUAGUAAAAUGAAAGACACUGAUACGUGAAGAAAUGAUUCUAAAAGAUGGGGUAACUGCAAUGAUUGUGAUAUAGCCAGUAUAUUAUAGAAGUACUGAGGUGAGGAACCCAAACCAACCUGAGGUGUGUGUGUGUGUGCCUGUACGUACAUGUGUGUUUUGGAGAGUGGGUGUGUGACAGGCACUGUUAGUGUCCUGCUCAUAUCUCCUGGAACCCCUUUGCCAUUUUCGUGUACGUCAGCUUCAGCUGCUUUCACUCCCAGCAGCCAGCACUGUGUCUCUUUGUUGGAGGACAGCUCUCAGGCUGCAGGAGCCCACUUUGUUUGUGCACGCACACAGAGAGCUGAAGUGUCUGGGAAUUUACUUCCCCAGAGGCAGUCCUAUGACUGACAGGUGUAGGGAUACAAGUACACCAGCCCUUUGCCCCUGAUCAAGAUAAUUCUGAUGUGUACCCUGCACUGUCUCCAAAAGUCCCCGAUGGAACGGAGCCAUAGUUACUCUCCAUGGAGAUAUCACAUCCUUGCUUGGCCUCUUUCCCUUCCCAGUCCCUCUUCCUCACUCCCCUAUUAGUUUUUCCUGGGAACACCUACUAAUAAAUGCACAUGAAUCCUCAUCUCGGGGCCUGCUUCUGGGAUACCCAAAUUAAGACAGGGAGAGUAAAGGAGAGAAGUCUUCUUUGAGGGUCCAUCUAAGCCAGGUCCUGAAGCAAGGGAAGAAUUUAGCAAGAUGAAAGAGGUAAGAGUUCACCCCAAGAGAGUGUGAAAAGGGAGUGCUAUGGAAAGAGCUUCAGACAGCAUGAACGAAAGCAUGCAGGUGAAAAACAGACUGGAAUACACAGGUAGCUACAACCACAUCCUAGAGCAUAGUUUAGGGAAAAGAUUGGCCAGUGAUAAGUGGGCAGGCAUCACAUCUUCCAGGGCUUGAUGCACUUAGUGUGCUGGAGCCAGCUAGCAGCCACUUGUUAAAUAUUCAGAAAUUUUGUGAUCCGGCUGUU
This 2635-nucleotide long non-coding RNA is filed under the name Equus caballus (horse). Its description in RNAcentral is "lncRNA (ENSECAG00000043918.1)". Lineage: Eukaryota; Metazoa; Chordata; Mammalia; Perissodactyla; Equidae. The record is from RNAcentral.